RNAcentral lists this ribosomal RNA (429 nucleotides) under Gemmatimonadota bacterium. RNAcentral's name for it is "Gemmatimonadetes bacterium partial 16S ribosomal RNA". It matches the Rfam family "Bacterial small subunit ribosomal RNA", at positions 355 to 776 of the family's 1533-position model. The record is from RNAcentral. Lineage: Bacteria; Pseudomonadati; Gemmatimonadota.
UAGGGAAUCUUCGGCAAUGGACGAAAGUCUGACCGAGCAACGCCGCGUGAGUGAAGAAGGUUUUCGGAUCGUAAAACUCUGUUGUUAGAGAAGAACAAGGACGUUAGUAACUGAACGUCCCCUGACGGUAUCUAACCAGAAAGCCACGGCUAACUACGUGCCAGCAGCCGCGGUAAUACGUAGGUGGCAAGCGUUGUCCGGAUUUAUUGGGCGUAAAGCGAGCGCAGGCGGUUUCUUAAGUCUGAUGUGAAAGCCCCCGGCUCAACCGGGGAGGGUCAUUGGAAACGGGGAGACUUGAGUGCAGAAGAGGAGAGGGGAAUUCCAUGUGUAGCGGUGAAAUGCGUAGAGAUAUGGAGGAACAGCAGUGGCGAAGGCGGCUCUCUGGUCUGUAACUGACGCUGAGGCGCGAAAGCGUGGGGAGCAAACAGG